UCAACGGUUUAUCCUUCACCCAUUUUUCUGCACGUCAUCCUGAGGCACAGAUUCCCGGGGCUCCCACAAACAAGAGGAAGUUACUCCACGUUCCUGGGUAGCUGAUCAUCUUAGCAAACUAGAGAACUAUGGACAACCUUUUCUUUCCAAAACACUAUUAGUGAAAACCACUCUAACGUGCUGAAGGCUUUGUCAAAGAACCUAAUCAAAAGCUCUGCUGCCAAAUGUUUGUGACCAGACAAGCGAUUUUACUACACCACCCUCGAGUCAAUCAUCUAGAAAGUAAAAUCUAGAUCCGAAUUGUUUAUUCUUAAUGCUUCUUUUAUUUUUUCUUUUAUCCUUUUCUCCUCCCAACUCAUCUUUUAAAAAUCAUGUUCUAUACUGUCAUACAGUACAUUAGAAUAUAUAUAGGAUUUACCAAAAUACGUGGUUUUUUUUUAGGGGUGGGGAAGUGUGCUUCAAAGCCUGCUUACUGAUGGAAAUCAGCAAUCAAAGUUCUGUUGUCCGCUGCUGUAGAGUCGAGAGGAACAGAUGACAGACCGCUAUCAGGGUUACUGCUGGUUCCCUCUGGCCCUGCACCUUACAGCUUCCCUUUCCGUUAGGUUCUGCAAAUCUAUCCCCUGGAGUCACCACACAUCCGCCUCCAAACCUCACAUGCUCCUCUGCAGCAAACACAUCUACAGCUCACACUGUACUCACUUUUAUGGUAACUUCUAAGAGUGCUCGUCACCUACUUCAUCUGGGGGUUCCUCCUCCUCUUUAAACACAGUAAGUUUGUUAAAAAGCACUUUCUAUGGCUAUUUAAUUUCACCUCCCCCCUCAAGACUCAGUGCAGACUCAUGGGCCAGUUGAUAAAAGCUUUGAGCUCGGCCAGGAGCAGUGGUUCACGCCUGUAAUCCCAGCACUUUGGGAGGCCGGGGAGGGCGGAUCACGAGGUCAGGAGAUCGAGACCAUCCUGGCCAACAU
RNAcentral lists this long non-coding RNA (966 nucleotides) under Homo sapiens (human). RNAcentral's name for it is "HSALNT0378638". Lineage: Eukaryota; Metazoa; Chordata; Mammalia; Primates; Hominidae. The record is from RNAcentral.